ACUCUUGCAGAUCUUCAAGCUCUUAUGAAUAGUGUACGAAAGGAGAUUACAUUUCUUCGCAAUCCAAGUAAAGAACCUCAAAUUGAUCUAGUGACCGAAGAAGCUAGACGCGAAAUUCAUAGCCUACAACAAGAGAUUAUUCGACUGAGAGAAGCAAGACAUGUAUCACAUACGACCCCUAUGGAUACUUCAAGGAUUAGUACGAAAGAACCAAAAGCGAGUAUGCCAGACAAGUUUGACGGAACAAGAGCCAACUU
RNAcentral lists this long non-coding RNA (257 nucleotides) under Physcomitrium patens. Its description in RNAcentral is "long non-coding RNA (PPAT_LNC012241)". Lineage: Eukaryota; Viridiplantae; Streptophyta; Bryopsida; Funariales; Funariaceae. The record is from RNAcentral.